Phyllopteryx taeniolatus (common seadragon) is the source of this 3176-nucleotide long non-coding RNA. RefSeq lists it as uncharacterized. NCBI's taxonomy places the organism in Eukaryota, Metazoa, Chordata, Actinopteri, Syngnathiformes, Syngnathidae. The transcript is spliced from 3 exons. The record is from RefSeq and is a predicted model, not a curated record.
CAACGAUGAGGAUCCACGAGGGGUGCGGUUUUUACACCCGUGGCGGCCGCACCGGACCGGGCAAAGUGAGGCGAGGCUGCGGGGCGGCGGUGCGUGUCCAGCCGGCCACUGUGGAGCAGCGCGCGGUUGAGAGAUGGUUUACUUAUUGCAGGUGCAUCUGAAACACAUCACCAGCGAUAACUGGGGGUUCACAGUGGCUCCAAACCAGCUCAGCGAGAAAGGCUCAAGUGCACCCUCUGCUGUGAAGGAGGAUGAUGAGAAGAUUGUGUCUCACCUGAAGAAGCAAAGGACAGCACUCCCGGUGGUGAGGAAGAUGAGGGACAGGCUGUGGCCCAGUGUGUACAACGUCUGCACUAGCACGUAGAACACCAGCUGAACACCCACACAACACACAAACACUAAAAAGGGGUGUGAAGAACAUUGCUAAAUAUGAUGCUAAAAGCAAUUACUGUAUGCUAAUAGUGGUGGUUAUGCCAAGAGUGGUUCUAGCCACGUUGCUAACAAUGACGCUAACAAUAAGUGCUAAAAUGGCAACAGUGGGGCUAACAACUAUGCUACGCUAACUAAGCUAAGUAGCUACAAACUCUUGGUCACAAUGUUUGUAUCAGCCGAAAACAUUUUCAGGUGAUGCGCUGGUUGACCUUUGGAUGCUACGUUAGCUUAGCAUCGUGAUUGGGUUUGUGGAUCGAAACUUGUGUCGCUCUCCCUUGUGUCUGAGUGUCACAAUGUAGUAAUUUAUCCAGUUAAGUGAACAAACACAAGGGUGAAUUCACGACACAUCGACGACCCCAACUGAACUGAAUUGAACCCAGAACCGUGGCAGGGAGCUGCAAUUAGCGGAGAAGUACUGCCAAAAAACAACAACACGACGAUGCCACCUUUUGAGCAAAUUUUUGUUAAUGCAUUACUGUUGUUAUUAUUAUUAUUAAAACUAAUCUUAACCUCUAACUCUACUGCCCACUCUAACCAUAACCCAUAAUGCUAGCUUUAACUCUAAAGUAGCCCUAAACCCUAACUGUUAGAUAUUAUUUUUGUACUAGGGUCCAACUGAUAAGGAUUUUUUUUAGGCUGAUACAGAUUUCAAUAUUAGGCAGAAUAUAUGCAGAUAACCGUUUAGUCGGCCGAUUAAUAAAAAAUAUAUAUAAUGAAUAAAAUAAGGUUAUUUUUUUUGGUCCUUUAACACUUACAACAACAAAAAUAUGAAUUACAUGCAGAACAUUUUACUGUUUCAAAAUACUUUGUCCUUUAGUUUUUGUUUAACUUUACAACAGAGAGGAAUUUUCAAGUACAAAACAUGCAAAAAAAGCAUUAACUGAUAAAUGUAUUUCUCGAUUUAGGCCAUAAAGGAAUUGCAGUAGAGAAGCAAACUAAUGAGUAAAGUUACUGGCAAAAAAUUAUUUAUGGAUGAUUUCCUUUAAUUUUCAAUCACAUUUGUUCUAUUCCAUUAUUUUCUUUGCCAUGAAGUGAUGACUUCAAAAUAAAAACCAGAGAUGCCUUUCUCAGAUGUUAAAACAUUUUAUGUUCGUGCAUUGUGGCUGUUUUUGUUUUACUCUUUAUUUCUUGUAUUUUGUUUAAUGUGGCUGUCAAUAUCUCUAUCUUAUGUUGUAAUGUGUAAAUAUGUAAAAAAAAAAAAAAAAAGGCAAAAAUCACCUGAUUUUUUUUUUGCAUCAGUCCUAAACAUAUUGUACAUCAAUUGUCUCAAAUGUUUCAAGCAAGCACCCACACACUUCCUUUCUGAAAGGUUAUCACCUGUAUGAGUGAGCUAUUUUAUAAAAGCAAUUCAAGUCUGAGCCAAAUGGUCUUGAGAUGGAAACUGGAAAUUCUCCUCAUUUUGUAUCAACACGGGCAGGUAGAAAAAGAAGUUAAAAAGGUUCAGAAAUUUUGAGAGGACAGAUCACUCAGUGAGGAGAGAGACAAUUGUCAACUCGACUUACCGAGUGACCUCUGACGCUGUAUCAUUUGCUGUGUUACUCUGUUAACUUGCUUAAAGGGUCCCCUUCCAUCAAAAUCCAUUUCUUUCAACUGUUUUUUUGCAUAACAUACAGUAGGUCAAAAUGAGUCUUUGACCUGGUUUAAGUUUGACAUCUAUGUGGUUUGUCGAAUGAAUGCAAUAGAUGAUAAAGGACAUUAGGCUUGUAAAAUGGCCGGAUAAGAUUUCUGUGUAUUUGUGACGUAGAAAGUUAUUAAUUAUUCAAAUAUCUGGCCACUUCUUGGUUGCUACACGACUUAUCUCCCGCCAUGAGUUUAUCAACAAAAGAACCAGGAAAACAACAAUAAGAGCAACACUAAAUCUUAUGCUAAUUCCUAACCCGAGCCACUAAACCUAACACCUAAGUCCUAACCUCUAAAUGUAAACCACAACCCUAAAGCCAUAAUCCUAACCGUAAAUAUACUGAACAAAAAUAUAAUGCAACACUUUUGUUUUGGCUUCCAUUCACGAACUUAAAGAUCUCAGACAAUUUCUUUACGCAAACAAAAGGCCAAUUUCUUGCAAAUGUUGUUCACAAAUCAAUCUAAAUCUGGUAGUGAUCACUUCUCCCUGUCAUAUCUUGUAUUGUUUGCUUGUUUCCUGUGUGGAAUCUUUGUGUUGCAGUCCCUGGGUGCUGGUCGGUGGGCGGAGUCUCCCGCAAUGCAGCUGCUGGUGAUUUGUCAUCAGCAGUGCAUUUAAGCAUGGGAGACGCAGGAGAAAAACUCUUGAGAAUUUGUAUUUUGCUUGUUGCCAUUGACUUGUCAGCUUUGUUACAUUCUCGCACAUUCCCACAUUCAUUCUGUCCUGCCAGUAGCUAUUUUCAACGGCUGUUUUUCUGUUCCAGUUUCUCUUCCUUGUGUAGGUUAGUGUUUGUUCCCAUAGUUACUUUUAGUAUUUUCCUCCUGUGGCUUCCUGUCCACCGUCCUUAUUUAAGUACCUGUCUGCUAGAUGGUUUUCGCGUUGACUUUCUGUCAUGUCACUUUCUGUUAAUAGUUAUUUUUUUCACAUGAGCGUGCUCCCUUUGUUGAAUAAAGUCUGUAAACGCUCAUCUUUUGUUGUUUUGCUUUGGGGUCCAAAUGUAUUGUGUCUGACGCAGCCAUAACAGAAUUUCUCGGCCAUUAUGGACCUCACAACCGCUGAGCAUAUGUCUAGCCAAAGGGAAUUGGUUAGCAAACAUGAUCGCUCACUCAGCUAUCAAUGCGCACAC